Long non-coding RNA from Selaginella moellendorffii, 215 nucleotides. RefSeq lists it as uncharacterized. The record is from RefSeq and is a predicted model, not a curated record. Lineage: Eukaryota; Viridiplantae; Streptophyta; Lycopodiopsida; Selaginellales; Selaginellaceae. The transcript has 2 exons.
UUGAAGCCGACCACAACGCCGAAGAGGAGGCUACCAAACCUUCCAAAGAGCGCAGCACGAAGAAACGAUAAGUUAUUCCCAGAGGUAUGGUGAGUGCUUUCCUUUUCUAGAGGCAAUGCCAUUGACAUGAAACCACUAGUAUACAAUCUCUGCGUCGCAUCAUCAAUGGUGAUAGAAGGUUAAUUAAUAACGACGAUCCGAGUGCAUGAAAUGGA